This 253-nucleotide ribosomal RNA is filed under the name uncultured bacterium. RNAcentral's name for it is "partial 16S ribosomal RNA". It matches the Rfam family "Bacterial small subunit ribosomal RNA", at positions 524 to 776 of the family's 1533-position model. The record is from RNAcentral.
UACGAAGGGGGCUAGCGUUGCUCGGAAUCACUGGGCGUAAAGGGCGCGUAGGCGGCUCGCCAAGUCAGGGGUGAAAUACUUCAGCUUAACUGGAGAAGUGCCCUUGAUACUGGCGGGCUCGAGGGAGGUAGGGGCAUGUGGAACUUCUGGUGGAGCGGUGAAAUGCGUUGAUAUCAGAAGGAACGCCGGUGGCGAAAGCGACGUGCUGGACCUCUUCUGACGCUGAGGCGCGAAAGCUAGGGGAGCAAACGGG